RNAcentral lists this ribosomal RNA (730 nucleotides) under Megophrys sp. 3 ZL-2018. Its description in RNAcentral is "partial 12S rRNA'". It matches the Rfam family "Bacterial small subunit ribosomal RNA", at positions 293 to 1398 of the family's 1533-position model. The record is from RNAcentral. Lineage: Eukaryota; Metazoa; Chordata; Amphibia; Anura; Megophryidae.
UAAGAGAAAGAGGAGCCGGUAUCAGGCUCUAUUCGCCCAUGACACCUAGCCCCGCCACACCCCCAAGGGUAUUCAGCAGUGAUCAACAUUGUAAACUAGCGUAAGCUAAAUUCAGUUACUAGCUAAAAAAACCGGUCAAUCUCGUGCCAGCCACCGCGGUUAUACGGGCAGGUUUAAAUUGAUAAAAUCGGCACAAAGCGUGGUUAGAUUAUUACCUUAAUAAAGCAAAAAUUAAGCCCGGCUGUGAUAUGCUUGCGCUUAAAAUAACUUCAAUUACGAAAGUAGCUUUAACUCUCAUUGAACCCACGAUCGCUAGGGCACAAACUGGGAUUAGAUACCCCACUAUGCCUAGCCCUAAACUUUGAUUUCUCCGCCCGGGGACUACGAGCGGCAGCUUAAAACCCAAAAGACUUGGCGGUGCCCUACACCACCUAGAGGAGCCUGUUCUAUAAUCGAUAAUCCCCGAUUCACCUCACCACCUCUUGCCAAUACCGCCUGUAUACCUCCGUCGCCAACUGACCCCUUAAGGGAAUUAGUCGGUUAAAUGGCCUUCUUCCAGUAAGUCAGGUCAAGGUGCAGCGAAUGAGGUGGGAAGAAAUGGGCUACAUUUUCUACUAGUAGACUAUACGAAAGAUCACUAUGAAAUCUGAUUGGAAGGUGGAUUUAGCAGUAAAAAGAGACUAGAGCGCUCUUUUUAAGUUGGCUCUAGGGCGCGCACACACCGCCCGUC